UACAGAGGGUGCAAGCGUUAAUCGGAAUUACUGGGCGUAAAGCGCGCGUAGGUGGAAAGAUAAGUUGGAUGUGAAAUCCCCGGGCUUAACCUGGGAAGGUCAUCCGAAACUGUUUUUCUAGAGUACAGUAGAGGGAAGUGGAAUUUCCGGUGUAGCGGUGAAAUGCGUAGAUAUCGGAAGGAACACCAGUGGCGAAGGCGGCUUCCUGGACUGAUACUGACACUGAGGCGCGAGAGCGUGGGGAGCGAACAGG
This 253-nucleotide ribosomal RNA is filed under the name uncultured bacterium. Its description in RNAcentral is "partial 16S ribosomal RNA". It matches the Rfam family "Bacterial small subunit ribosomal RNA", at positions 524 to 776 of the family's 1533-position model. The record is from RNAcentral.